RNAcentral lists this ribosomal RNA (382 nucleotides) under uncultured eukaryote. RNAcentral's name for it is "partial 18S ribosomal RNA". It matches the Rfam family "Eukaryotic small subunit ribosomal RNA", at positions 592 to 976 of the family's 1831-position model. The record is from RNAcentral.
CAAUAGCGUAUAUUAAAGUUGUUGCAGUUAAAAAGCUCGUAGUUGGACUUCUGCGGGUGGCGGCCGGUCGUGCUCGAAACGGACGUGAACUUGGCGUGCUGCCCGCAUCUUUGGGGAGAUUGUGCGUGGCAUUAAGUUGUCGUGCAUGGGAUUCUCAUCAUUUACUGUGAAAAAAUUAGAGUGUUUAAAGCAGGCCUUUGCCUUGAAUACAUUAGCAUGGAAUAAUAAGAUAGGACCGUUGUCUAUUUUGUUGGUUUACAGAUGUCGGUAAUGAUUAAUAGGGAUAGUUGGGGGUAUUCGUAUUCAGUUGUCAGAGGUGAAAUUCUUGGAUUUUCGGAAGACGCACGACUGCGAAAGCAUUUACCAAGGAUGUUUNCAUUAA